RNAcentral lists this ribosomal RNA (446 nucleotides) under uncultured bacterium. RNAcentral's name for it is "bacterial SSU rRNA". It matches the Rfam family "Bacterial small subunit ribosomal RNA", at positions 329 to 792 of the family's 1533-position model. The record is from RNAcentral.
UCCCAGACUCCUACGGGAGGCAGCAGUAGGGAAUCUUUCACAAUGGGCGAAAGCCUGAUGGAGCAACGCCGCGUGCAGGAUGAAGGCCUUCGGGUUGUAAACUGCUUUUAUAAGCGAGAAAUAUGAUGGUAACUUAUGAAUAAGGAUCGGCUAACUACGUGCCAGCAGCCGCGGUCAUACGUAGGAUCCGAGCAUUAUCCGGAGUGACUGGGUGUAAAGGGCGUGUAGGCGGGACUGCAAGUCAGAUGUGAAAAUUAUGGGCUCAACCCAUAACCUGCAUUUGAAACUGUAGUUCUUGAGUGAUGGAGAGGCAGGCGGAAUUCCGUGUGUAGCGGUGAAAUGCGUAGAUAUACGGAGGAACACCAGUGGCGAAGGCGGCCUGCUGGACAUUAACUGACGCUGAGGCGCGAAAGCGUGGGGAGCAAACAGGAUUAGAUACCCGAGUA